GACGAACGCUGGCGGCGUGCUUAACACAUGCAAGUCGAACGGAAAGGCCCUGCUUUUGUGGGGUGCUCGAGUGGCGAACGGGUGAGUAACACGUGAGUAACCUGCCCUUGACUUUGGGAUAACUUCAGGAAACUGGGGCUAAUACCGGAUAGGAGCUCCUGCUGCAUGGUGGGGGUUGGAAAGUUUCGGCGGUUGGGGAUGGACUCGCGGCUUAUCAGCUUGUUGGUGGGGUAGUGGCUUACCAAGGCUUUGACGGGUAGCCGGCCUGAGAGGGUGACCGGCCACAUUGGGACUGAGAUACGGCCCAGACGCCUACGGGAGGAAGCAGUGGGGAAUAUUGCACAAUGGGCGGAAGCCUGAUGCAGCAACGCCGCGUGCGGGAUGACGGCCUUCGGGUUGUAAACCGCUUUCGCCUGUGACGAAGCGUGAGUGACGGUAAUGGGUAAAGAAGCACCGGCUAACUACGUG
This 468-nucleotide ribosomal RNA is filed under the name uncultured bacterium. RNAcentral describes it as "partial 16S ribosomal RNA". It matches the Rfam family "Bacterial small subunit ribosomal RNA", at positions 28 to 507 of the family's 1533-position model. The record is from RNAcentral.